Sus scrofa (pig) is the source of this 1196-nucleotide non-coding RNA. NCBI's taxonomy places the organism in Eukaryota, Metazoa, Chordata, Mammalia, Artiodactyla, Suidae. The record is from RefSeq and is a predicted model, not a curated record.
AAAAAAAAAAAAAAAAAAAAAAAAUCUUCAAACUACUUUGAGCAUACAAAUGUUUGGCUCAUGGGAAAGUGCUUCAGAGGCUUUUUAACCUUCAGAGGCUGUGCUGGAGAGAAGCUGAUGAGGCCUCUCUGCAGACAGGCACCGAUCCCCUGACCCCCAGCUUUGCUGGAUAGUGAGCCUCAGAAACUCCAGCUCAUGCCUUCCUGGCUGGCUUCUGUGAGCCCUGAGUCUAGCGGAGCUGCACCCUUCCCCACCUACCUGAGGAUAUUCUAAACCACUCAAGAAGGGCAGGAGCAGUGGGUGAUUAGAAGCCAAUUAAAGAUACAGCCCAGCUCCUCACCAUCUUACCUAUUACCACCUGUGCAAAGAUCACCUGCUGGCACAGGGGUGGGGGGAGGGGGUGGACUAGGAGGGCAAUUUCCGGUUACUGCCCCAGAGAGGGGGCUGUGGCUGUCUUGCCGCCUGUGCCUGGCAGAGGAGGCCAGUGACAGGAGCCACGUCUUAGGGCAAUGACCAGGUGAGGGCUUCAGGCCACCUUGGGGCCCUGAAUCUGGAAUCAAGAGACACGGAGAAUGAGGACCUGUUGUGGGGUCCUCUGUGGACUGAAAACUUUUCUUCACAGCCAGAAAAAUUGCCAGUCGGGAGGGAGAGCGCACUUCGUCUUGGGCCCAACCUCUCUUUGUUCCUGCCCUUCCGGAGUGGCUGGGUGUUCUGCAGCACAGACCUCAGUUCUACCAGGCUGUGAUCUGCCAGCGUUUUAUGAGAGCUGACGUCACACCAGGAAGGAGGCACCCAUAGCAUCUGCAAAUGCAGGGGCUCAAGCUGUGGAUCUUGGCGUUCCACCCAGCCUCCACCAAAUAGCCCCAAAGCCAUGUCCACAUACCUCUCAACUUUACUCCCAAACUCUAGCAAAUCAACGGGAAAUGAGAUCAGAGACAGUGGUGGGGCCAAGUCUGCUGCAAGCAGCUGAAGCUGGUCGACCCUUUCUGAGGGCGCUCCCACCAGCCUCUACACAGAGUCCUUUCUCAGAGCUGAGCAACAUGGGACUGCUAAGUACCAGGACCAUCCGAAGAACCAAAAUGAGUGAUCCAAGCAGCACCUGCAGCAUAUGGACGAACUUAGCUAAGAUGACCCGGGGAGCGUAUCCUCAGCAAAGGGCCAAACCGGAGGAAGUUCCUAGGCGAGGGUCAAAUCGG